AUACGUAGGGUGCAAGCGUUAAUCGGAAUUACUGGGCGUAAAGCGUGCGCAGGCGGUUUUGUAAGACAGAGGUGAAAUCCCCGGGCUCAACCUGGGAACUGCCUUUGUGACUGCAGGGCUAGAGUACGGCAGAGGGGGGUGGAAUUCCGCGGGUCGCAGUGAAAUGCAUAGAUAUGCGGAGGAACACCGAGGGCGAAGGCGAUCCCCUGGGCCUGUACUGACGCUCAUGCGCGAAAGCGUGGGGAGCAAACAGGAUUAGAUACCCUGGUAGUCCACGCCCUAAACGAUGUCAACUGGUUGUUGGGUCUUCAUUGUCUCAGUAACGAAGCUAACGCGUGAAGUGGACCGCCUGGGGAGUGCGGCCGCAAGGUGGACACUCAAAUGAAUUGUCGGGG
RNAcentral lists this ribosomal RNA (395 nucleotides) under uncultured bacterium. Its description in RNAcentral is "partial 16S ribosomal RNA". It matches the Rfam family "Bacterial small subunit ribosomal RNA", at positions 523 to 918 of the family's 1533-position model. The record is from RNAcentral.